This 93-nucleotide ribosomal RNA is filed under the name Fusarium sp. RNAcentral's name for it is "partial 28S ribosomal RNA". Lineage: Eukaryota; Fungi; Ascomycota; Sordariomycetes; Hypocreales; Nectriaceae. The record is from RNAcentral.
UGUUGACCUCGAAUCAGGUAGGAUUACGUGGUCCGCUGAACUUAAGCAUAUCAAAAGGCCGGGAGGGAAGGGCGGUCGCGCUAAUCAGCGAAA